Molecule: long non-coding RNA, 1094 nt
Organism: Myxocyprinus asiaticus (Chinese sucker)
Lineage: Eukaryota; Metazoa; Chordata; Actinopteri; Cypriniformes; Catostomidae
Exons: 4
Source: RefSeq, a predicted model, not a curated record
AUAGAUACCUGCUGCCAGGGCUUUACUUUCAACAGCACUGCCUGCUCAAUAAGGAAGCUGAUUGAAAACUGUUGAGUGUGUUUCAAGCACUGAAGCAGAGAAGAAAGUGUGAAAACAACUAUAACCAAGGAUACAAAAGGAAAGAGACCUGCUGAUCACUAAGAUGCAAAGACUGGAAGACAGAUUGAAUGACCUGAAGUCUAAGCUAUCUGCAGCUUUAAUGGAUAAGGACCGCGUUAUCCAGGAGAAAGCUGAAUUGCACCAAAGAGUCCAGGCUUUGGAACUGCAGUUGAAGAGAGAGCAGGAAGGCAAGCAGGGUUUCAGUGAGCAGGUGUGUGAGCUUCAUUCUGAGCUGUCUCAAGCUAAGAGGCAGGCCAACAGACAGAAGAUGGACAUGAUAUAAAUAAAGGAGGAGCUGCUCUUUAAUAAAGAGUUGAACGAAAAGCUGUCGCCUGAUCUGACCAAGGCUACAGAGAGGCUACAGAUAACCCUAAACUAACUACAUGAGCUGGAAACAGAGAAACUGAUUCAAACCAAUCAGAUCACGGCACUGGAAUCUGAGCGCUUGCAGCUGAUUGGAGAGGAGGCGGCAUUGAGGAAAACCGUUGAUAAUGGAAAUCAAGAUGAGAUUCGAGAGCUAAAAGCGAUCUCUAAUUCAUUCAGUGUUUGGAUUGUUUAUGGUACCCUAUAACACGUGACUGCCAUUGUCAAAAACUUCAAGGAUUUUAAUUGCUUUCCUUGGUACUUUCUUGAUGUAGAGAAAAAGUAGUAGUCAUAACCUAUCGCUAUCCCUUGACAUCAGCACAUAAGUUCUGUAAAACCAAUGAUGGGGACUUGAUUAGUGUUAUGGUUAACUAAUGAUUGUUUGCACGAAGGAGGAAACAGAGACCAUAUUUGUAAAGUGCUUAGAUGUUUGAAAUAAGUGACCUAUCAGGAUCUCAGAAAGUGUUGUACUGUGACACCUCUAAUUAAAUUUGCUUGUGAAUGUUUUUGAAAGUAAGCUUCUUCCUUUUCUUCUAUAUUACUGAACUACUGGAUCCCAUUGACUUGUGAUGUAAAUUGGAACUGCAGAGAACAAUCAGUAAACUUUCUCU